Molecule: ribosomal RNA, 443 nt
Filed under: uncultured bacterium
Lineage: Bacteria
Description: partial 16S ribosomal RNA
Rfam family: Bacterial small subunit ribosomal RNA
Source: RNAcentral
CCUACGGGAGGCAGCAGUGGGGAAUAUUGGGCAAUGGAGGCAACUCUGACCCAGCAACGCCGCGUGAAUGAUGAAGGUCUUCGGAUUGUAAAGUUCUGUGAUGGGGGAGGAACACAAUGACGGUACCCCAAUAGCAAGCCACGGCUAACUACGGCCCAGAAGCCUCGGGAAUAGGUAGGUGGCAAGCGUUUUCCGGAAUGACUGGGCGUAAAGGGGGCGUAGGGGGUUUAGUAAGUUGGCGGUGUAAUUCCGGGGCUCAACCUCGGCGCUGCCGCCCAAACUAUUAGACUAGAGUGCAGGAGGGGUAAGUGGAAUUCCUAGUGUAGCGGUGGAAUGCGUAGAUAUUAGGAGGAACAUCAGGGGCGAAGGCGACUUACUGGACUGUAACUGACACUGAGGCACGAAAGCGUGGGGAGCAAACAGGAUUAGAUACCCCAGUAGUC